AAAAAAAUAGCUUAAAUUUAUAAAGCAUAAUACUGAAGCUAUUAAGAUAAUUAAAAAUUUUAAAACA
RNAcentral lists this transfer RNA (67 nucleotides) under Bemisia tabaci. RNAcentral's name for it is "tRNA-Phe". The record is from RNAcentral. Lineage: Eukaryota; Metazoa; Arthropoda; Insecta; Hemiptera; Aleyrodidae.